RNAcentral lists this long non-coding RNA (277 nucleotides) under Ricinus communis (castor bean). RNAcentral describes it as "long non-coding RNA (RCOM_LNC002513)". The record is from RNAcentral. Lineage: Eukaryota; Viridiplantae; Streptophyta; Magnoliopsida; Malpighiales; Euphorbiaceae.
UGAAAAUUAAAAUAAAAAAAUUCUCAAGACUGAUGUCGUUGGCUGAGAACUCCAUUUAUUCUUUUUAGCUCUUCAAGGGCUAGCGUUAGGAGGACAAGGCUUGCGGAUGUAAGCGCUGCAAGGAGGACUUUUAGAAGGAAUACAAUAUGGUUUGCCACGGCCGCAUUCAAAUGGAGGAAGUUUUGGGUUGCCGGUGCCAAAAGCAGCUAAUUGUCGAGCAGAAGUUGAAGAGAGAGAAAAGAGAAUGGCAACCAAGAGAAUGUAUAUUAUCAAAGAG